RNAcentral lists this ribosomal RNA (497 nucleotides) under uncultured bacterium. RNAcentral describes it as "partial 16S ribosomal RNA". It matches the Rfam family "Bacterial small subunit ribosomal RNA", at positions 28 to 507 of the family's 1533-position model. The record is from RNAcentral.
GAUGAACGCUGGCGGCGUGCCUAAUACAUGCAAGUCGAGCGAACGGACGAGAAGCUUGCUUCUCUGAUGUUAGCGGCGGACGGGUGAGUAACACGUGGAUAACCUACCUAUAAGACUGGGAUCACUUCGGGAAACCGGAGCUAAUACCGGAUAAUAUUUUGAACCGCAUGGUUCAAAAGUGAAAGACGGUCUUGCUGUCACUUAUAGAUGGAUCCGCGCUGCAUUAGCUAGUUGGUAAGGUAACGGCUUACCAAGGCAACGAUGCAUAGCCGACCUGAGAGGGUGAUCGGCCACACUGGAACUGAGACACGGUCCAGACUCCUACGGGAGGCAGCAGUAGGGAAUCUUCCGCAAUGGGCGAAAGCCUGACGGAGCAACGCCGCGUGAGUGAUGAAGGUCUUCGGAUCGUAAAACUCUGUUAUUAGGGAAGAACAGAUGUGUAAGUAACUGUGCACAUCUUGACGGUACCUAAUCAGAAAGCCACGGCUAACUACGUG